UUUGGCAGUUAUAGAGCAGGUGUCCACCUCUAACCAUUCCGAACAGAGAAGUUAAGCCCUGUAUCGCCGAUGAUACUGCAACAAGUAUGUGGAAAAGUAGGUCGCUGCCAAGU
RNAcentral lists this ribosomal RNA (113 nucleotides) under Bacteroidales bacterium. Lineage: Bacteria; Pseudomonadati; Bacteroidota; Bacteroidia; Bacteroidales. The record is from RNAcentral.